Molecule: long non-coding RNA, 343 nt
Organism: Priapulus caudatus
Lineage: Eukaryota; Metazoa; Priapulida; Priapulimorpha; Priapulimorphida; Priapulidae
Exons: 3
Source: RefSeq, a predicted model, not a curated record
UUGUACCAAAAUACAUGUACUCUAGAUUUUGUUUUUCGUGUUAGUAUGCAGUUUUCCAAAUCCUAAACACUAUGGCGAUCUACGCAUUAGAGAGAUACACAUUAUUACAUUUAAAUGCGAUGGACAGAUAUGUAAAACCGUAAUGGAUAAUACAGCAGACGCCCGAGAACAGAUAUUCCACAACGCAGUUCGGGAAUACAUUAUAUAUCUGCUGUUUAUCAUCACACUUUGCAUCGUGUCCUACGCCAUCCUCAAUCGCUUCAAACGCAGGGCCGAAAGAGAUGACUACUAUUCAGAUGAUGAGGAUUUCAUCGUUUACAGGAUCGUGUAAGUAUGCGAGUGC